UACGGGGGGAGCAAGCGUUGUUCGGAUUUACUGGGCGUAGAGGGCGCGUAGGCGGCCAGCACAAGUCAGUUGUGAAAUCUCCGAGCUUAACUCGGAAAGGUCAACUGAUACUGUGCGGCUGGAGUACGGUAGGGGCAGAGGGAAUUUCCGGUGGAGCGGUGAAAUGCGUAGAGAUCGGAAAGAACACCAACGGCGAAAGCACUCUGCUGGGCCGACACUGACACUGAGAGACGAAAGCUAGGGGAGCGAAUGGG
Molecule: ribosomal RNA, 254 nt
Filed under: uncultured bacterium
Lineage: Bacteria
Description: partial 16S ribosomal RNA
Rfam family: Bacterial small subunit ribosomal RNA
Source: RNAcentral